AGCGAACGCUGGCGGCAGGCCUAACACAUGCAAGUCGAACGGAACCUUCGGGUUCAGUGGCGGACGGGUGAGUAACACGUGGGAACGUGCCCUAUGGUUCGGAAUAACUCAGGGAAACUUGAGCUAAUACCGGAUAAGCCCUACGGGGGAAAGAUUUAUCGCCAUUGGAGCGGCCCGCGUCUGAUUAGCUAGUUGGUGAGGUAAAGGCUCACCAAGGCUACGAUCAGUAGCUGGUCUGAGAGGAUGAUCAGCCACAUUGGGACUGAGACACGGCCAAACUCCUACGGGAGGCAGCAGUGGGAAUCUUGCGCAAUGGGCGAAAGCCUGACGCAGCCAUGCCGCGUGAAUGAUGAAGGUCUUAGGAUUGUAAAAUUCUUUCACC
This 382-nucleotide ribosomal RNA is filed under the name uncultured bacterium. Its description in RNAcentral is "bacterial SSU rRNA". It matches the Rfam family "Bacterial small subunit ribosomal RNA", at positions 29 to 440 of the family's 1533-position model. The record is from RNAcentral.